This 227-nucleotide unclassified non-coding RNA is filed under the name Hevea brasiliensis (rubber tree). Lineage: Eukaryota; Viridiplantae; Streptophyta; Magnoliopsida; Malpighiales; Euphorbiaceae. The record is from RNAcentral.
CAGUCCAGGAGCAAGGGUUUCACAACCUCCAAUUGCUCUCUAAUCUCCAUCUUUCUCAAACAAAAUUCAAACUCUCUCGUAGAUUUUUUUUCUCUUCCUGAUUCCUAAAAGAAAAUGCCGUCUGAGGACUCAAAGGCCGUGAAGGUGAAAGAUGAAGCAGAAGCAGAGAAAGCUGAAGCAGAAGCAGAUGAGAAGAGUUUGAGUUCCAUUCUCCAAGCCCGCAAGAA